Molecule: unclassified non-coding RNA, 271 nt
Filed under: Chaetothyriales sp.
Lineage: Eukaryota; Fungi; Ascomycota; Eurotiomycetes; Chaetothyriales
Description: partial contains 5.8S ribosomal RNA, internal transcribed spacer 2, and large subunit ribosomal RNA
Source: RNAcentral
CGCACAUUGCGCCCUUUGGUAUUCCGAAGGGCAUGCCUGUUCGAGCGUCAUUAUCACCCCUCAAGCCCGGCUUGUUGUUGGAUGCAGCGCCUGACGUUUCGUCGGUCGCUCUUCCCAAAGAUAAUGACGGCGUCUGUGAGGACUCCUGUACACUGAGCUUUCGGGCACGUACUGGGCUAGAAAUCCAAACGCCGGUCACCGUCUCCGUCAAACGAGACAAACUUAUACCAAGGUUGACCUCGGAUCAGGUAGGAAUACCCGCUGAACUUAA